GCGGGCGUAGUUUAAUGGUAAAACUACAGUCUUCCAAACUGUUGUCGUGGGUUCGAUUCCCACGCCCGCU
Molecule: transfer RNA, 70 nt
Filed under: Synechococcaceae cyanobacterium SM2_3_1
Lineage: Bacteria; Bacillati; Cyanobacteriota; Cyanophyceae; Synechococcales; Synechococcaceae
Description: tRNA-Gly
Rfam family: tRNA
About the family: Transfer RNA (tRNA) molecules are approximately 80 nucleotides in length.
Source: RNAcentral